This 199-nucleotide long non-coding RNA is filed under the name Elaeis guineensis (African oil palm). Its description in RNAcentral is "long non-coding RNA (EGUI_LNC051428)". Lineage: Eukaryota; Viridiplantae; Streptophyta; Magnoliopsida; Arecales; Arecaceae. The record is from RNAcentral.
GUCGGAGGGGCCAGGCAGCUCCAGGUCGAACUCCAGAGGAACUCCAUACUAAACCCUUAUCAGAAGGAGUUCAUCCAGAGUCAGGGAGCAUGGGAUGGUGCCCGGUGUAAAAAUCGGGCGAGGCCCAGCCCCAGAUGCGGGUUCGUCUACAGAACGAGGGACCUGGGGGGUUGAGGUGGAAGAACUCCCGAAACUGCUG